GCCCGGAGAUGGUUUCUGAGACACGAAACCAGGCCCUACGGGGCGCAGCAGGCGCGAAAACUUCGCAAUGCGGGAAACCGUGACGAGGGAACUCCGAGUGUCUAUGCAUUGCAUAGACUGUUUUUUAGCCUAAAUAGCUAUUAGAGUAAGGGGUGGGAAAGACCGGUGCCAGCCGCCGCGGUAACACCGGCACCCCGAGUGGUAGCCACUAUUAUUGGGCCUAAAGCGUUCGUAGCCGGUUUGGUAAAUUCUUGGGUAAAUCGUACCGCUCAACGGUGCGGAUUCCGGGGACACUACCAGACUUGAGACCGGGGGAGAUCAGAGGUACUUGCGGGGGAGCGGUGAAAUGUUGUAAUCCCGCAGGGACCACCAGUGGCGAAGGCGUCUGAUCAGAACGGCUCUGACGGUGAGGAACGAAACCCUGGGGCGCAAACGGGAUUAGAUACCCCGGUAGUCCAGGGCGUAAACGCUGCUGACUUGGUGUUGGGGAUCCUACGAGGAUGUCCAGUGCUGGCGCGAAGGUAUUAAGUGCAGCCGCCUGGGGAGUACGGUCGCAAGACUGAAACUAAAGGAAUUGGCGGGGAGCACUGCAUCCGAAGC
This 600-nucleotide ribosomal RNA is filed under the name uncultured Methermicoccus sp. RNAcentral describes it as "bacterial SSU rRNA". It matches the Rfam family "Archaeal small subunit ribosomal RNA", at positions 288 to 891 of the family's 1478-position model. Lineage: Archaea; Methanobacteriati; Methanobacteriota; Methanomicrobia; Methanosarcinales; Methermicoccaceae. The record is from RNAcentral.